This is a long non-coding RNA of Hippocampus zosterae (dwarf seahorse), 4082 nucleotides long. RefSeq lists it as uncharacterized. Lineage: Eukaryota; Metazoa; Chordata; Actinopteri; Syngnathiformes; Syngnathidae. The record is from RefSeq and is a predicted model, not a curated record. The transcript is spliced from 4 exons.
GUUAAAUCGGAGCCGAGAUUCAAACCACCAACCUACAAACCGUGGGGGGAAUGUGUGAACCACAGAAGUUUGGGUGGUUUGCAAAUGCAAAAACCAAUAUAAACAAGUUAGAAUGUGACGCAAGGAAGACAAGCUUUGAUAUAAAGAUAUAAAGCGGAGCAACAGUACUAUUAGAGGCUGCAACCCCCCUUCCAGAUGGAGGGGGGGGGGGGUAACUAUUGAUUUUCUCUUUAAUAUGAAAUGUGGAGCUACACCUCCCUGUGUGGUCCAAGGAUAAUGGCUUGAUGGAGUGUGUGUAUUAUUUGCUCAGGUUCCUCUCUAAGAUCGGCGCUAAAUCUCCGUGUGGAACUCGGCCCAUCCAGAAUACAUAAUCCCUCCCAUGCUUGGGAGUCUUAUAUUACAUGCUCGGGUGAAUGUUGGAUUUUUAUGGUCACUCGGUGCAUGGUGCUCUCUCUUGGUGCAGAUGGCUUGGAGGGAUAAAGUCUGCUCCAGUGUCAGGAGAGCGGGGGGGCACAGUUCUUCCGUGUGAUAAAUACUGCUCCCAUGCUGUGAUUAUGCUGGCCCUUUGCGGUAUGGAGUCAUAACGGCCCUCGAGCAAACACAUGUGACGGGCCAAAUUGCUCAGCGUGAUUUAUUUAUUUAUUUUUAAAUUCCGUUCCUCCUCAUUUGGGUCGUGGGUGCGUUGGAGACUAUUCGAGCCGCCUUUUGACUCUCUGAACCGGCCGUGUACUUUUGGUGGUGGUGAGAUUGGCACGCUGAGUUAGAAGUUGAAUUUUGUUAAUGACAUUCUGAGCUUUUACGACACCGGGGGCUCUCAUGUGUGUUUAUGUCAUACAAAGUCAGUGUCUCUGAGAAAAGACAAGUUGAUUAUGGUCUUUAACUCAUUCACUCCCAAAGACGUUUCUAAACGUCUUUUCAGACUUAGUCCAGAAUUGGCUGGUAGUGAAUGAGUUAAGCACGAGCUGUGGGGACUCCUCAUACGUGGGCUGAGACUUUGAUGCGUCCGCUAACUGUCCAUAUCUGUGAGUGUGUAUGGUUGUGUCCUGCAAUUGACAUAGGACCAUUCCAGGGUGUAUCCAACAUCUUGCCCAAAAUCAGCAGCGACAGGCUCCAUUUACCCGCGAACUGGAUGUGGCGAAAUUAUGACAACUAUUUUGCUAAUGUCUUCAUCCUAUAGAAACCAAUCGGAUUGUUUUGAUGGCGUCACUCUACUGCCCGGAACCACAAACAUAUUUUAUCUUUAUGGUGGAUGUUAUUCCUCAAGGGUGGUGGGGGCGGGGGUAGAAUGAAUCUUGUUUAGUAUGUUUAUGUCCAAAGGGUGAAUUCUCUUCAUGUUGUGUUCUCAGCCAUCGUAACGACUGAUUUGUUUUUGAAGUUGAAAAUUCUCUCGGCUGGCUUUCUUUCACUUGGGUUUUGCUAUCAUAAUUUGCCAUUAAUUAAUGGAAGGUCUGAUGGGGUUUUUUUUCUUUUCAUAAUUCAUUUUCCCUGUUGGAGGCAAGAAAAGCAAUGCUUUGAGCUUAUGUCGCUUGGGUUUCCUGCCAGGCCUAACGUCUUGGUUGAAGAGAUGAAGACGCCGUGGCGCAAAAUAAUAACAUGAAACGGCUGCAUCUGCAGCUAGAGUUACAGUCACAUACAGGUUCGAAGAUGAACACUUCACAGAUGGACUGAUAGGAAUGUGCCAUUUUUUAUUCUGGGGUGAGCACGCACGGCCAUCACUUUGCACCGUCCCGACUUGGCUCCAUCUGCUCUGGCAGGCUGGCGACCUUUGGCAAAUGGAAGAUUUUUUAAAUAUUAAUAGCUGCAAUUGGAGACGUUUAACAAAGAAAGCAAGUUUGAGCAUUUUAUAGAAACAGUUAACUUCAAUGUCCUGCAGGCUCUUAAAAAAAAAAAAAAGAGGCGCUGGAAGAAAGCGCAAGACUUUAAUUAUUAAUGUUAUAAUGUGCCUUUCCCAAGGCAAUGUGCCAGGUUUCGUAACACAAAUGUAAAUUCAGACGGGAUAGCAUUCCUAUUCAUGCAAGUGUGCCUCCAAAAAAGGUGAAUGCUGAGAGAUAACUAGCACAAAUGCUGAGAGACACCUAUAGCCAGUAAUAAUGUAUACUGGAAAUAAUUUCCAUCUGAAUGCUAAAAAACAAGUAUUUUAAAUUUGUGAAUGGUGGAAGACGAAUACUGAUGCCGAUUCUAUACCGAGAAUGCUGAAAAAGAUGCACAGGAUAUUGUGCAUCAAAACGUUGACGGCAGUUAUUUAUUUAUUUACACAUCGACAAUAAUGCAAUAAUGUUGGACAUCAUUUGUAUCUGAAUGCCAAGACAUAAAAAAUUCACACUAACGCUGUUUAUUAAAACAUGCCACUCCGUAACUGCUGUGAGACGACCAUUGUCAGUAAUGAUGAGUGCUGGAAAUGAUUUGGAUGUGAAUGCCAAAUAAGACACUGUGACACUAAUGUUUUUGCAUGGCAAAAAUAAUGUUUGUAAAUAGUGAGAUAUCAUGUUGAUCAUAAGUAUCGGUCAAGAAUUCACAUUCAGGAUAGUUGGCACUUAAAUUUGUGUUAUUUUGUGAAUGCUAAUAGAGGAGCAUCCCCUCGAAUGCAAUUGUGUUUUGAGAUUUUUGAAUGGCGGCAAUGAUCUCUGCAGAUACAGUGCUUUAGCUGACAAAAUCCGGUAGCGUCUGGAUCAAAUCCUGUACAGCAAAAAAUAAAAAAUAAAAUAUAAUCUGAGAAGAUGUCAGGGAGUUUUGCAUUACUUCCCCCCAAUUUAUGACUUCUACAGUCCAGAAGAACCUUGUCGAGCUAGUGAGGAGUCUGUCCAUCCAUUGGACAUCCGUUAUAAUUUAGAUUUAGAUUUUGACAGACACAGUUACAGGCCUCUUAUCAUUUAUUUCUGAGCAUUGUGGCUCAGUACUCUCAUGAAUUAUCGAAAGGAAUUGUAAUUUCUAGUUGCAUGUGAAGAUCGACAAUGCAAAAAAAAAAGGGAGGGGGGUGGGGGUUAUUCAUUCUAAAUUGAUUCACAAAGUGUGAGCCAAACUGUUGAUGAGGUCGAACUUUUCACAUGGCGGGGGAUGGGGGGUUGGGGUGGGGCGGUGGAACUGCAUCAUUACCAUGCCAUUGGGAAGUUAAUUACAGCAAAUGAUACAAGUAAAUAUGACACUUAUUGGCCCAGGUUGGAAGGAGACAUCUGGCCUUCGUCGGAGCUCAAGUCCCUGUGAUCGCGCCACCUCCACCAGAAGAACAUGGCUACAAUCAUUGCAAUAAUCAAUGUCUCGAAUCCCAUCUGCGCUUGUAAAAGUGUGUCUUCCAAAAUUCCACCAGGGCACUGUUCUCGCUUUGUUUACACCGUGAUAAACCCGAUGAGUACUCGUAAAAUAAACUAAGCUGGGAGGGGACUGGGACUUGUGGGAAAGGGGUGGGGGUGGGGGGGCGUUACAACUGCAUUUGGAGACUUAAAGGUUUAAGUCCCCGGAAGAAUUAAGAGAUAAAAGUUUUUAUUUGACAGGGCUAAUGGCUUCUCAGGGUGAGCCAUGCCUGAGAGAUGAUAGAGAACAAUCAAACAAAAAAAAAAAGAAAAACUAGGACACUUUUACAGCUCUCGGGCGCCCCCAAAUUUGUUGACAGAUACAGGAAGAGCCACCAACUUGGGACCAAAAGACCUUGAAGAGAUGAAAAUGUCUCAAUCUAAACAGAGCUUUUUUACCUCACCGUUUUGACCGAAAAAGAGAUUCAACCAUUGAAAUAAAAUUGUGGUUCGGAAGCACUAUUUGGGACACACAUUCACUUAGUGGCAGGAGGUACAUGCGGUUUACACAGUGUGAGAUCUAAACGGUGAGUUUUAAUAAGAUGUGUACUUAGUUGCUGUUCUAAUUAGCAUUAUGUGCAAGCCCGGCUAAUAUUCAUUUGAGUUGACAUUGCUUAUAUAAUUUAGGAUAACAGGUUUUAAUAAAAUCCCCUCUUCAUGCUUCAUUUCCACUGAUCACCAGCUGCCGGGUCAAUUGAAUAAUUAAGGAUUGAAUUAAGCUUCAGCGUGGAUCACAGUCUUCCGGCACAGGCCAACCUGGUACGCCAGAAUACCAGAGCCCAAAUCAAAUAGGCG